This 253-nucleotide ribosomal RNA is filed under the name uncultured bacterium. RNAcentral describes it as "partial 16S ribosomal RNA". It matches the Rfam family "Bacterial small subunit ribosomal RNA", at positions 524 to 776 of the family's 1533-position model. The record is from RNAcentral.
UACGAAGGGGGCUAGCGUUGCUCGGAAUCACUGGGCGUAAAGCGCACGUAGGCGGAUUUCUAAGUCAGGGGUGAAAUCCUGGAGCUCAACUCCAGAACUGCCUUUGAUACUGAAGAUCUUGAGUCCGGGAGAGGUGAGUGGAACUGCGAGUGUAGAGGUGAAAUUCGUAGAUAUUCGUAAGAACACCAGUGGCGAAGGCGGCUCACUGGCCCGGUACUGACGCUGAGGCACGAAAGCGUGGGGAGCAAACAGG